This 446-nucleotide ribosomal RNA is filed under the name uncultured bacterium. Its description in RNAcentral is "bacterial SSU rRNA". It matches the Rfam family "Bacterial small subunit ribosomal RNA", at positions 331 to 793 of the family's 1533-position model. The record is from RNAcentral.
CCAGACUCCUACGGGAGGCAGCAGUGGGGGAUAUUGCACAAUGGGGGGAACCCUGAUGCAGCGACGCCGCGUGGGUGAAGGAGCGUUUCGGCGCGUAAAGCCCUAUCGGCAGGGAAGAAGGAGGACGGUACCUGACUAAGAAGCCCCGGCUAACUACGUGCCAGCAGCCGCGGUAAUACGUAGGGGGCAAGCGUUAUCCGGAUUUACUGGGUGUAAAGGGGGCGUAGGCGGCCUGCCAAGUCUGAUGUGAAAUACCGGGGCUCAACCCCGGGGCUGCAUUGGAAACUGGCAGGCUGGAGUGCCGGAGAGGCAGGCGGAAUUCCUAGUGUAGCGGUGAAAUGCGUAGAUAUUAGGAGGAACACCAGUGGCGAAGGCGACUUUCUGGACGAUAACUGACGUUGAGGCACGAAAGUGUGGGGAGCAAACAGGAUUAGAUACCCUGGUAU